GUUGAGAAAAUGUUGGGUAUGUUCAUGAAACUGAGAAAAGUCUGGUAUGUCUUUGAUUCCAAGUGAGAGGCAAGGAGUACAAGAUGAAGCAGGUCCAGGUUAGACUACAAGUCCCGAUAGACCGUUAUGGUGUCUAGGGGGGUGGUAAGCUCUAAUUUUUGUUUUGAAAACAUCACUGUGGUUGUGUUGGUUAGAGAAGAGGCAGGAUUGGAAGCUAGGGUGACCAGUUAAAAAUAUUCAGUGGUCUAGGGAGGGCAUGAGAUAGCAGUUUGCACCAGGUAGGAGAUGAGGAGAAGUGGACAUAUCUAAGAACUUGGUUUUUUGUACUGGGGAUUUAACUCAGGGGCACUUUACCACUGAGCUCCAUCCCUAGCCCCUUUUGUUUUAUUUUGACACAGGGUCUCACUAAGUGGCUUAGGGCCUCACUCAGUAGCUGAAGCUGAUUGAUAAUUUGUAAUCCUCCUGCCUCAGCCUCCCAGGUUGCUGGGGUUACAGGUGUGAGCCACCAUGCCCAGCCAUCUGAGGACUUUUUUGGAGAUAAAAUUGACAUAAUUUUAUAAAAAUUGUGGAAGUAAAGGAGAACAUGUAUAAGGCAUGGCUGAAAUGUUCUGAAAGUAAAUUAGUUGAAGGGCUAUUUCUAAAGCAUAGAGUUCCCCUCACUAUUCAUAUUGUUUUAAAAAAUUGCAAGUAACAUGAAUGAUCUUUUGUCUUCUGUUGAGAAAUACCUCUUUUUUACCAAGGCAGUCACAUAUAGAAUUAAGCAGUAUACUGAUAACAAACAUUUUUGGAAAAAUACAAAUUUGAGAAAAUUAGAUUUUUAAAUAUUUGCCAGAUGAAUUUUUUUUUUUUUCUGAGAGUCUCUUUUUCCUAGUCUACAACCUCCGUAUCAUUAUGAUGUACUUGGCCCAGUGCUCUAGAGAUCAUCUGUCAUUUAAGUUUCCUCAUAUUGAUGUAAGUAAUGAAAACAGACUCUAAAAUGAUUUUCUGGCAUAUAACUACCUUCCAAUGAGGAAUAUCUGGAAUCAAUUCAGUUUUAGUAAUUUCUUAUUUCCAUGGCCAAAGUCCUAAAAUGUCAAGUUCUUCAAGUGAUGUUUUUAUUCUGUAG
RNAcentral lists this long non-coding RNA (1105 nucleotides) under Marmota monax (woodchuck). The record is from RNAcentral. Lineage: Eukaryota; Metazoa; Chordata; Mammalia; Rodentia; Sciuridae.